Molecule: ribosomal RNA, 468 nt
Filed under: uncultured bacterium
Lineage: Bacteria
Description: partial 16S ribosomal RNA
Rfam family: Bacterial small subunit ribosomal RNA
Source: RNAcentral
GACGAACGCUGGCGGCGUGCUUAACACAUGCAAGUCGAACGGAAAGGCCCUGCUUUUGUGGGGUGCUCGAGUGGCGAACGGGUGAGUAACACGUGAGUAACCUGCCCUUGACUUUGGGAUAACUUCAGGAAAAUGGGGCUAAUACCGGAUAGGAGCUCCUGCUGCAUGGUGGGGGUUGGAAAGUUUCGGCGGUUGGGGAUGGACUCGCGGCUUAUCAGCUUGUUGGUGGGGUAGUGGCUUACCAAGGCUUUGACGGGUAGCCGGCCUGAGAGGGUGACCGGCCACAUUGGGACUGAGGUACGGCCCAGACUCCUACGGUAGGCAGCAGUGGGGAAUAUUGCACAAUGGGCGGAAGCCUGAUGCAGCAACGCCGCGUGCGGGAUGACGGCCUUCGAGUUGUAAACCGCUUUCGCCUGUGACGAAGCGUGAUUGACGGUAAUGGGUAAAGAAGCACCGGCUAACUACGUG